AGAGUUUGUUUCUGGCUCAGGAUGAACGCCGGCGGUGUGCCUAAUACAUGCAAGUCGUACGCACUGGCCCAACUGAUUGAUGGUGCUUGCACCUGAUUGACGAUGGAUCACCAGUGAGUGGCGGACGGGUGAGUAACACGUAGGUAACCUGCCCCGGAGCGGGGGAUAACAUUUGGAAACAGAUGCUAAUACCGCAUAACAACAAAAGCCACAUGGCUUUUGUUUGAAAGAUGGCCUUGGCUAUCACUCUGGGAUGGACCUGCGGUGCAUUAGCUAGUUGGUAAGGUAACGGCUUACCAAGGCGAUGAUGCAUAGCCGAGUUGAGAGACUGAUCGGCCACAAUGGAACUGAGACACGGUCCAUACUCCUACGGGAGGCAGCAGUAGGGAAUUUUCCACAAUGGGCGCAAGCCUGAUGGAGCAACACCGCGUGAGUGAAGAAGGGUUUCGGCUCGUAAAGCUCUGUUGUUGGAGAAGAACGUGCGUGAGAGUAACUGUUCACGCAGUGACGGUAUCCAACCAGAAAGUCACGGCUAACUACGUGCCAGCAGCCGCGGUAAUACGUUGGUGGCAAGCGUUAUCCGGAUUUAUUGGGCGUAAAGCGAGCGCAGGCGGUUGCUUAGGUCUGAUGUGAAAGCCUUCGGCUUAACCGAAGAAGUGCAUCGGAAACCGGGCGACUUGAGUGCAGAAGAGGACAGUGGAACUCCAUGUGUAGCGGUGGAAUGCGUAGAUAUCGGGAAGAACACCGAUGGCGAAGGCAGCUCUCUGGGCCGUCACUGACGCUGAGGCGCGAAAGCUGGGGGAGCGAACAGGAUUAGAUACCCUGGUAGUCCCAGCCGUAAACGAUGGAUAUUGGGGGGGGGGGAUCCCCCCCUUCCGUGCCGCAGCCACGCAAUAAGUAUCCCCGCCUGGGGAGUACGGCCGCAAGGCUAAAACUCAAAGGAAUGACGGGGGGCCCGCACAAGCAGCGGAGCGUGUGGCUUAAUUCGAAGCAACGCGAAGAACCUUACCAGGGCUUGACAUGCGCCUGAAGCCGCGGAGACGCGGUGGCCGAGAGGAGGGCGCGCAGGUGGUGCAUGGCUGUCGUCAGCUCGUGUCGUGAGAUGUUGGGUUAAGUCCCGCAACGAGCGCAACCCCCGUCCCGUGUUGCCAGCAUUAGGUUGGGGACUCGCGGGAGACUGCCGGCGUCAAGCCGGAGGAAGGUGGGGACGACGUCAAGUCAUCAUGCCCCUUAUGCCCUGGGCUGCACACGUGCUACAAUGGCCGGUACAGAGGGUUGCCACCCCGCGAGGGGGAGCGGAUCCCGGAAAGCCGGCCCCAGUUCGGAUCGCAGGCUGCAACCCGCCUGCGUGAAGCCGGAGUUGCUAGUAAUCGCGGAUCAGCACGCCGCGGUGAAUACGUUCCCGGGCCUUGCACACACCGCCCGUCA
Molecule: ribosomal RNA, 1428 nt
Filed under: uncultured bacterium
Lineage: Bacteria
Description: partial 16S ribosomal RNA
Rfam family: Bacterial small subunit ribosomal RNA
Source: RNAcentral